Limulus polyphemus (Atlantic horseshoe crab) is the source of this 172-nucleotide long non-coding RNA. RefSeq lists it as uncharacterized. The transcript has 2 exons. The record is from RefSeq and is a predicted model, not a curated record. Lineage: Eukaryota; Metazoa; Arthropoda; Merostomata; Xiphosura; Limulidae.
CUUACUUUUAAUUGCACAGACUUGUAUUAUACAGUUAGACAAAGUUACGUGCAACGCCCUCUACUUCCUUUUGUGUAAAGGACUUGAAGCUAUUCAGGAAAAAUGUCUCUAGUGAUUCCUGAGAAGUUCCAGCAUAUUUUGCGUGUUAUGAACACCAACAUCGAUGGAAAGA